Anolis carolinensis (green anole) is the source of this 87-nucleotide microRNA precursor. Ensembl annotates it as aca-mir-9-2. Its record names the gene aca-mir-9-2. The record is from Ensembl. NCBI's taxonomy places the organism in Eukaryota, Metazoa, Chordata, Lepidosauria, Squamata, Anolidae.
GAGGGCCGUUUCUGUCUUUGGUUAUCUAGCUGUAUGAGUGUAAUCGACCCAUCAUAAAGCUAGAUAACCGAAAGUAGAAAUGACUCC